Molecule: ribosomal RNA, 253 nt
Filed under: uncultured bacterium
Lineage: Bacteria
Description: partial 16S ribosomal RNA
Rfam family: Bacterial small subunit ribosomal RNA
Source: RNAcentral
UACGGGGGGAGCAAGCGUUGUUCGGAUUCACUGGGCGUAAAGGGUGCGUAGGCGGUCGGGUAAGUCUGGCGUGAAAUCUCCAAGCCUAACUUGGAAACUGCGUUGGAUACUAUCCGGCUCGAGGAAUGGAGGGGAGACUGGAAUACUUGGUGUAGCAGUGAAAUGCGUAGAUAUCAAGUGGAACACCAGUGGCGAAGGCGAGUCUCUGGACAUUUCCUGACGCUGAGGCACGAAAGCCAGGGGAGCAAACGGG